UACGUAGGGUGCGAGCGUUAAUCGGAAUUACUGGGCGUAAAGCGUGCGCAGGCGGCGCGUUAAGACAGGUGUGAAAGCCCCGAACUUAACUUGGGAAUUGCGCUUGUGACUGGCGUGCUGGAGUGUGGCAGAGGGAGGUGGAAUUCCACGUGUAGCAGUGAAAUGCGUAGAGAUGUGGAGGAACACCGAUGGCGAAGGCAGCCUCCUGGGCCAGCACUGACGCUCAUGCACGAAAGCGUGGGGAGCGAACAGG
This 253-nucleotide ribosomal RNA is filed under the name uncultured bacterium. RNAcentral describes it as "partial 16S ribosomal RNA". It matches the Rfam family "Bacterial small subunit ribosomal RNA", at positions 524 to 776 of the family's 1533-position model. The record is from RNAcentral.